This 492-nucleotide ribosomal RNA is filed under the name uncultured bacterium. Its description in RNAcentral is "partial 16S ribosomal RNA". It matches the Rfam family "Bacterial small subunit ribosomal RNA", at positions 29 to 507 of the family's 1533-position model. The record is from RNAcentral.
AGUGAACGCUGGCGGUAGGCCUAACACAUGCAAGUCGAACGGCAGCACAGUAAGAGCUUGCUCUUACGGGUGGCGAGUGGCGGACGGGUGAGGAAUACAUCGGAAUCUACUUUUUCGUGGGGGAUAACGUAGGGAAACUUACGCUAAUACCGCAUACGACCUACGGGUGAAAGCAGGGGAUCUUCGGACCUUGCGCGAUUGAAUGAGCCGAUGUCGGAUUAGCUAGUUGGCGGGGUAAAGGCCCACCAAGGCGACGAUCCGUAGCUGGUCUGAGAGGAUGAUCAGCCACACUGGAACUGAGACACGGUCCAGACUCCUACGGGAGGCAGCAGUGGGGAAUAUUGGACAAUGGGCGCAAGCCUGAUCCAGCCAUACCGCGUGGGCGAAGAAGGCCUUCGGGUUGUAAAGCCCUUCUGUUGGGAAAGAAAAGCAGCAGGUUAAUACCCCGCUGUUCUGACGGUACCCAAAGAAUAAGCACCGGCUAACUUCGUG